Molecule: RNA transcript, 4244 nt
Organism: Oryza brachyantha (malo sina)
Lineage: Eukaryota; Viridiplantae; Streptophyta; Magnoliopsida; Poales; Poaceae
Gene name: putative pentatricopeptide repeat-containing protein At1g68930
Exons: 6
Source: RefSeq, a predicted model, not a curated record
GCGUGGACUGGUUCCCCGGUGAGAUCAACUGCACGGGCAAACGUACUCCUCUUCUUCUCUCGCGCAGGCUAGGUUGACGUUGCUGCCGGUAUGUCACGUCGGUGUCCCUCGUGGCUGAGCCCGGUGGGGGAGCGGUGGGACGCCGCCUCCUUGACCGGCGCCCUGAAGGCCGCCGGUGCCCGGCGGUCCGCGCCCCACGUCGUGCCGCUCCACGCGGUGCUACUGAAGCUCGGCCUCUCGGCGUACACUAUCCUGGCCACCUCGCUUGCUCACCUAGCGCUCCGGUGCGGGCUCCUCGAGUACGCUCGGGAGCUGUUCGACGAAAUGCCCCAUCGGGAUGUGGUCUCCUGGACGUCCCUCAUCACCGGCCACGCACAUCACGAUGCUUGUGGGGAGCUGGCAUUGUUGAUGCAAGGGAUGCAGAUACAUGCAAAAGUAAUUCGAGGUGGAUUUGUGUUAUAUGUGGUUAUCAGGAAUUCCUUAGUGGAUAUGUACGCAAAAUGUGGGUGUGUCGAUUCAGCAGAGCUUGUCUUUAAUGAUGCAAUGUCAUCGGAUGCUGUUCUUUGGAUCACAAUGAUCUCAGCUUAUGGCAAGUUUGGCCGUGUAUACGAUGCAAUCUCUAUGUUUGAUAGGAUGCCAAAAUUGGGAAUAAAACAAGAUGGUGUUGCAUAUCUUGCAGUUUUAUCAGCUUGUAGCCAUAGUGGACUUGUCAAGGAAGGCUGGAACUACUUUAAGUUGAUGUUUCAUGGUCCAAACUCAGUUAAGAUAGAGCCUAAGCACUAUGGUUGUAUGGCAGAUCUCUUGUGUAGGAGUGGUUACUUAGAAGAAGCUCUUGAUUUCAUUAGAAAUAUGCCUUUUGACUCCAGUGUUGCUGCUUGGAGCGCUUUACUCAAUUCAUGCAGGAUCCACGGUAAUGCUAAAUUAGGUCAACUUGCAGCAUCCCGUCUGCUUCAGCUUGAUCCAAAUAAUCACAGCAACUGGGUUGCUCUAUCAAAUGUACAUGCAUCAGAAAUUAAUUGGCAUGAUACCUUGAUGAUCAGAGAGAGCAUGAGCAGUGAGUGUGUGAAGAAAGAGCCCGGAUGUAGUUGUGUUGAACUGCAUGAUGGAGUUCAUGUGUUUCUAAUGGUUGAUCAAUCUCACCCUGAAUUGGUUCAUUUAUUGCAGGCUCUUGAUUCACUAAAGGAGGAUAUAUAUUGUUGAUAUCCGCAUAAUGAGGAGGAGGUAUUGGGAUGCCAUCUAGAUGUAUGUGAUCCGUAUUACUUGGCAUCAAAUUCUCUUCUUAGUGGAGCUUAACUCGGAGUAACAUGUUUCCCUCAUGAAGACGACUAUCAAUGUGUAGUCCUUGAAAAGUACCUGCAGAAGCACACUCAGGCGCCUGUUUUGCACCCCUGCUGCUGAAUCUCAUUAUGAGCACACCAAUGCAAUUCAUUGCAAUAACAUUGCUGUUGUGUUGAUGUCUCAUAGUAUUGUAAUCUGGCUCUCUCUCUCCUGAAAUGAAGACAUGAGAAGAUUAAAAGUACAUAAAUUGGGUCAAAACCACAUGCGAAUCUUAGAUAUGGGUUUUCUCUUCGGACAAUGAUAGCUACUGAGUAAUACCAAUCUAGAGAGUGAAGAUUGUUAGAGUACAUGACAAAAAUGCAUGUUAUAAAUGAAUAAAUGCAAAUAGCAGGUUAGACAAUUCUAAAUGUAUUGUUUUUGACAAAUAGUACCGAUGUCUAAACUACCAUACUUAUUACAGGGUAUACAAAAGAACAAAAAAUAUAUUGGCAGCAAAUUCUUUUAAGAGGUCUCAUGUAAUUUCUUUCUAAGAGGUACACAUAACAACUAAAAUUAUUGUAUUUUUUCUUAAAAAAUCUCCAAAAUUGUGAAAGGUACAUAUGUCUCUUAUCCCAAAAUUGUAAAACAGAAUUCCUAAUACUAUAGUAGACAGUAGUAGAAUAUUAUGGCAAAAUUUUAGGGAGAAAAAAAAAAGGACGGUUAACUCCACGAAGAUGUCUUGAGAUCAAAUUAAAUCCCAUGACAAUUCUAGAUUUUAGAGUUUGAAAUGUAACAGAGAUCUCACUCGUAAAUUAAACACAAUCGAGUUAUUAGAGCAAUUACCUCCAUGUUUGGGAAAAACCAAGAAGUCAUCAUCGUCGUCAAGCCAAGGAGACAAGCUUCCAACACUCGAGCCUCUUAGUUUGGUCAAGAACAACAUUGAAAGCUUGUCGGCGGCGGCCAUCUGUUGGUGAGAGGUCCAAGCAGCACAUGUUGCCGUAGUUAGAGAAAUUUGUUCCAUUUGUUUCUGUUUAAUAGAGUUUAUUCAACGUACACACUUUUACCUUUCAGUAGAAAGAUCAAGAUCCAUGGCAGAUAUUUUAGAAAAUAACCAGCACCUAUACAUGAAUGAAGAUAGUACAAUACAGAUAAGAUGGUAGGUGCCGAAUUUCGCAUUCCUCACCUAUAAAAUGCAUAUACCUAGAUCCAGAAAUACAUUGCACAUUUUCAACAAACAUAAGACCUUACAUGACUAGAGCAUCUGAAGAUAGUAGUAUUGGUUAGCUAGUGAAUGGAAGGUAUCAGGAAUUUGAACACCUCUUCUACAUGGCUUUAUUUAGCGGCUGCAUUAGGGUAAUUUAAGAAAUACCUUUAUUUGUUGUCUCAUCCAUCUGUCUAGCUGAUUUUUCUUUGCUGGUAUGGUUAUAUUCCAUUUUUGGUGGCCGACGAAAAUUGAGGGGACGUGCACCGAAGUCGCAUAUCUGCAAUAGAAGUAAGAAGAAAAUUGGUACGGUACAUCUUGCUAUUUUUCUAAUACCGGUGGCAGCCUACGGCCUUAAUCGAUCAUCCCACUUGCUGAUGUGAUUAAUUAAUUUGGAUAUGUGCUUACUGUUGGUCCAUGAUCCUAGGAUAGGAUGAUAGUGUGUGAUUGAUUACAUGUACGCACAUGAAUUUUCUGGUACCACUUAAUCUACACGGUCCAAAUAAUCACACGGUCUAGAAAUCUGUCCUAUGCAUUGCAACAAGGAAUUUGUGGGCCUUUCAUCUUGUUUAUGGCAAUCCAAGGAACACUAUCUUUCGUUUGUUGGAGAUUUUGCCGUCAUCAUCACUACGCUGAAUGUAUGACUAUCAAAAACAAAUCGGUAACCGACUCCACUUAUCAUUCAUAGUUCUUGAAUUGAAUAUUCAACUCAUCAAAACAUUACUCAAUGAUCCAACUCACGCAUGAAUUCAACAGGAGUACUCUUGUUUCACCUGUCUGUGUCCCCUUCUUGGUACAUCCUAUCCCUAGCUACAUACAUAUGUAGAUUUGUUUCUCACUUAAUUAGCUAGCAAUUAACAUGGAACAAAAGAAUUGAAAACCACUAAACUAUAAUGACACAAGCUAGCAAAAUACUUUAUGUGUUUGUUCUAUUUUAACUAGGAGCAUGUUAAUUAGCAGCACUAACAGAUCAACCAUUGUUACACGAACAUUGAACCAUGUACAUUUUUACCUUUUUGAGAUUAUGUUUCAUGCAAUUGAAUUCUUUUGUGACAGCUCAGUUGAUUAAUGAUGUGUGACUCUUCAACUCAGGUUAUUGCCCCUCUUUGAUUAAUUUUGUUUGUCACAAGGAAGAAGAUAUAUAGACCUUAUCAGAAUUGAAUUCAGACACUACACAACCAAGCAACCAAUUUAGGUCACAUACGCUAUGUAUGAUCAAUGGCAUCAUGGUGAUGCUAUAACUGAACUUAUAUAUGCAUCAUACCACCCACCAUGUAGCCAGUGCCAAAGGUCCUCCUAUGCCUCUGGGUCUCUGGGGAAUGCAUGUAUAGAUCAGAUGCAAAGCUAUUUCAUCUUCAUGAAGUUAUUUCAACUAUCUAGAGCAACCUAUCAAAGUAGAGGCGCCUUUUGUCCUUUAGGAAGAAGAGUGAUGGGACCAUUUUAUGGUGGAAAUUUAAAAUAACAUAGCAUAUUAACUGACAAAGAAUAAUGAAAUAUUAAGAUGCAGAUGGCAAAUGUGUAGAACUUGGCAUCGACACCAACAAAAUGUAUCCAUAGAAAAACAUUCCAUAGGUUCGACAAAAAAAAAAACGAGCUUGUAUGGCUAGAGUCUCUAAACAUUUUCAGUGGCGGUGAAGAAUGGAAGGUAUAUGGAGAUGUUACGGCAAGUUGAUGUUGCCUACAUUUGGAUGGUUUAAUGAACAAUAUUGUAUUUGGUCUCAUCCAUCUUGGUAGCUAAACCUUUUUGUGCUUCCACACUUAAUAUCCACUUGAUUGGGGACAUGGA